UACCGGGCAGUGGGGGAUAACUAUCGAAAGAUUAGCUAAUACCGCAUUUCUUCUGAGGAAGAAAGCAGGGGACCAUUUCUGUUUGAGCGGCCGAUAUCUGAUUAGCUAGUUGGUGGGGUAAAGGCCUACCAAGGCGACGAUCAGUAGCGGGUCUGAGAGGAUGAUCCGCCACACUGGGACUGAGACACGGCCCAGACUCCUACGGGAGGCAGCAGUGGGGAAUUUUGGACAAUGGGCGCAAGCCUGAUCCAGCCAUGCCGCGUGUCUGAAGAAAGGGCUUCGGGUUGUAAAGGACUUUUGUCAGGGAAGAAAAGGGCGGGGUUAAUACCCCUGUCUGAUGACGGACCUGAAGAAUAAG
This 358-nucleotide ribosomal RNA is filed under the name Neisseria sicca. RNAcentral describes it as "bacterial SSU rRNA". It matches the Rfam family "Bacterial small subunit ribosomal RNA", at positions 127 to 490 of the family's 1533-position model. The record is from RNAcentral. Lineage: Bacteria; Pseudomonadati; Pseudomonadota; Betaproteobacteria; Neisseriales; Neisseriaceae.